RNAcentral lists this ribosomal RNA (465 nucleotides) under uncultured ammonia-oxidizing beta proteobacterium. RNAcentral's name for it is "bacterial SSU rRNA". It matches the Rfam family "Bacterial small subunit ribosomal RNA", at positions 198 to 644 of the family's 1533-position model. The record is from RNAcentral. Lineage: Bacteria; Pseudomonadati; Pseudomonadota; Betaproteobacteria.
GGAGGAAAGCAGGGGAUCGUAAGACCUUGCGUUAAUGGAGCGGCCGAUAUCUGAUUAGCUAGUUGGUGAGGUAAAGGCUCACCAAGGCGACGAUCAGUAGCUGGUUUGAGAGAACGACCAGCCACACUGGAACUGAGACACGGUCCAGACUCCUACGGGAGGCAGCAGUGGGGAAUUUUGGACAAUGGGGGCAACCCUGAUCCAGCCAUUCCGCGUGAGUGAAGAAGGCCUUCGGGUUGUAAAGCUCUUUCGCAAGGGAAGAAAACUUAUGAUCGAAUAAAUCAUGAGGUUGACGGUACCUUGAUAAGAAGCACCGGCUAACUACGUGCCAGCAGCCGCGGUAAUACGUAGGGUGCGAGCGUUAGUCGGAAUUACUGGGCGUAAAGCGUGCGCAGGCGGUUUUGUAAGUCGGAUGUGAAAUCCCCGGGCUCAACCUGGGAACUGCGUUUGAAACUACAAGGCUAG